This 104-nucleotide ribosomal RNA is filed under the name Bacteroidetes bacterium ADurb.Bin028. The record is from RNAcentral. Lineage: Bacteria; Pseudomonadati; Bacteroidota.
AGGUGGCUAUAGCGAUGAGGAAACACCCGAACCCAUUCCGAACUCGGCAGUUAAGCUCAUCAGCGCCGAUGGUACUGCAUUUGUGGAAGAGUAGGUCGCUGCCA